RNAcentral lists this ribosomal RNA (506 nucleotides) under uncultured bacterium. RNAcentral's name for it is "partial 16S ribosomal RNA". It matches the Rfam family "Bacterial small subunit ribosomal RNA", at positions 29 to 523 of the family's 1533-position model. The record is from RNAcentral.
AGUGAACGCUGGCGGUAGGCCCAACACAUGCAAGUCGAACGGCAGCACAGGAGAGCUUGCUCUCUGGGUGGCGAGUGGCGGACGGGUGAGGAAUACAUCGGAAUCUACUUUUUCGUGGGGGAUAACGUAGGGAAACUUACGCUAAUACCGCAUACGACCUACGGGUGAAAGCAGGGGACCUUCGGGCCUUGCGCGAUUGAAUGAGCCGAUGUCGGAUUAGCUAGUUGGCGGGGUAAAGGCCCACCAAGGCGACGAUCCGUAGCUGGUCUGAGAGGAUGAUCAGCCACACUGGAACUGAGACACGGUCCGGACUCCUACGGGAGGCAGCAGUGGGGAAUAUUGGACAAUGGGCGCAAGCCUGAUCCAGCCAUACCGCGUGGGUGAAGAAGGCCUUCGGGUUGUAAAGCCCUUUUGUUGGGAAAGAAAUCCAGCUGGCUAAUACCCGGUUGGGAUGACGGUACCCAAAGAAUAAGCACCGGCUAACUACGUGCCAGCCGCCGCCGUAA